This 486-nucleotide ribosomal RNA is filed under the name Curvularia verruculosa. Its description in RNAcentral is "eukaryotic LSU rRNA". The stretch from base 114 to 267 matches the Rfam family "5.8S ribosomal RNA". The record is from RNAcentral. Lineage: Eukaryota; Fungi; Ascomycota; Dothideomycetes; Pleosporales; Pleosporaceae.
CUUGUCUUUUGCGCACUUGUUGUUUCCUGGGCGGGUUCGCUCGCCACCAGGACCACACCAUAAACCUUUUUGUUAAUGCAAUCAGCGUCAGUAAAAAGUAAUAAUUAUUUUACAACUUUCAACAACGGAUCUCUUGGUUCUGGCAUCGAUGAAGAACGCAGCGAAAUGCGAUACGUAGUGUGAAUUGCAGAAUUCAGUGAAUCAUCGAAUCUUUGAACGCACAUUGCGCCCUUUGGUAUUCCAAAGGGCAUGCCUGUUCGAGCGUCAUUUGUACCCUCAAGCUUUGCUUGGUGUUGGGCGUUGUUUGUCUUUGGCCUUGCCCAAAGACUCGCCUUAAAACAAUUGGCAGCCGGCCUACUGGUUUCGCAGCGCAGCACAUUUUUGCGCUUGCAAUCAGCAAAAGAGGUUGGCCAUCCAUCAAGACUACAUUUAUACGUUUGACCUCGGAUCAGGUAGGGAUACCCGCUGAACUUAAGCAUAUCAAUA